UCUAGAAAAAUGGAAAAAUGUCUAAGAGGUUUUUACUCGUUACAACUUUAACAACCAUCGUUCAGACUAGAUUAAUCGUCCCCGCGAUAUCACGCCUUUGAUAUAUCCAUCGCGUCACGGAUGUGGAAACAAUAAUAAUUGCGAUAUGGAAAUUCGUUGCCAUUUUCCAUUUAAAUUCUAGAGAGUUUUCAUGUCGACGGGAAGUGUUGGCACGAUGUAUUAAAAAAAAAAAAAAAAAAAGAAAGGAAAAGAAAAAGAAAAAAAAUGGAAAAAUUUCUAAGAAUAUACGUUUAAUGUUGCAACAUUAAUAAGGGUGAUGUCAAAGGUAAAAUUAAUUGUUCGCGUGAUAUCAUGUGGAAAAAAAAAUGGAACGUUGAAAAUGAAGGAUUUUUUAUUCCAAUUUUAUAAAUUUUUCAUGGCAAUGCAGAGAAACUGGUAAUGACGAGAUAUGGAAAUUGGGAAUUUUCCUAGUGAAUUCUAGUAAUUUUUCAUGACAACACGGAGAGGCUUGUAACUACGAAACAUGGAAAUUGAAAAUUUUCGAAUUCUAGUAAUUUUUCUCGUUAACAGGGAGAAGCUGGGAUACGCGAAAUGUGGAAAUUGAAAAUUUUCGAUUGAAAUUCCAAAGAUUUUUUUAUUUGAAAAAUGGAAAUUGAGAAUUUUCGAUUCGAAUUCUGGUAAUUUUUCACCAGAGAAUAGGAAGAAGUUGGUACGAUUUGGGAGCAUCGCGACGCUAAGUCGCGCCAGCUUUCUCGGAAUUGACGGUGACCAGCCAUCGGGGUGUUGCCAGCAACGUUAGUAACAACCAACGUUCAGCCUUGGCCCCGUGGCCCGAUUCGUGCAUACUGUGCGCUAACCCAUCCUAGUUAACCGUUCGUUAUGUCUUACUAACGUCAAACGAUUACUAAUAACAAGUUAAAUCUUUCUUUCAUUUCUUCAAUAAUUCUCGCCCAUUUUACACUUCCAUUACUUUUUUCGAAAAAUAAAAAAAGAAAUAAAUAGUAGCUUUUCUAAACUGCUAUUUACAAAAGUCAGAACAAUUUUUAUUUGGGGCGUUUUUCAGCUUGACGAAUAAUUAUUCAGGUCGAACAAAAACAGCAUGUCUUUCAAUCCCUUUCAAAAUUUUGCCGAGUUCUAUUCGGGAAAAGCGGGACAAACAAUUUUUCAAAGUUUUUUCGAAAUCAUUAUUGUCGAAAACAAUUGCAAAGAGAAUUUCAUUCAUUCACGAUAAAAGCAAAUUAUUCUCUGUAAUUAUCGAAACGAUAUUAUUAAAUUUUCGUCGUGAAAUUUCGAAAUCAAUCGAUAUAAAAAAAUAUGGAAAUUACUCAUAAAUGUAUUAUUUAGCAACGUAUAUCUUCGACAUUUCUAUAGGAUUUGAAAAAUGAUAUAAAAAUCUUUUAUUGGCCAUAUCGAGAAGUAAUAAUUUAUUAUUUUUCACCUAUAUAACGAUGGCAACGGUGACAGCAUCGAUGUAGCGUCCAAGUCAAUACAGAUGUGUCACAAACACGUGAAUAUGAACGACAGAAUCACGGAAUAUAUAACGUAUAUCGCACUAAAGUCGACCUAACCUAUGAAGUAUCGCGUGUAUAGGAUCAUAUGCAUUGAUAUCGCUCGAAGAUUCGAUAUUCAUUAUCGAUUUUGCUAUCGACUGAUCUAUACUCCUUUAAGAAAUUUAUUUCGAUGUAUCAUUUACCUCUUCAUAAACGCACUUUGUAAAAAGAUUUUUUUUUGAUAACCUUUCUCAUUAUCGCAAGUGAAUUAAUUGAAAAUGUUUUUUUUAAACAGAACGGUUACAAUAGGUUAAGUUACAAAAUAAGGUUAACGUGCACUUACUUACACGAUUAUUUCUUUGCAAACUGCACGAACUAUGGAACAAAUAUAAACAUUCUUUUAACCUAACUUUUUCUAGUUUUUUACGAAACGAUUACCUAUUUAUAAAUAAUUCUUACAUUUCCACAUACUAACAACAAUUGUUAAAGAUUAGAACGACGUGAUCGAUCGUUCUUGCUGGAUAUUUUACGCAGAUUUAUACAAAGAACAGAUACGUGAAAUUGUUACAAAGAACGACAGGGUCGAUGAAAUUAUGCGGUCGAAAGGAGAACUGUCGACCGGUAAUAUCGAUCGAGCAUGCUAUUUUUGCAUAGGUGUCCCUUUUCCGUAAUAACGAGAAUAAUGCCAUGAAAAAACUUUCGUCUAGACGUUCCUCAAAUCGAUCUCGAAUAUCUCUACAAACCUUAAACUCAAUUUUGAUCGGGUAAAAAUAUCGUGUAACGGUUUCGAUCGAUGUAAGAAUGGUUAGUCGAAGUGUAAAGUAGUAACGCACACGCAUUAUGCGACAGUUUUAUACCUUGGCACCGUUUCUUCGUGAACACGCACACAGCAAAGGAACAGACUGUUGCAUGAACGCUCAUUUGCAAAGCUUGGGCGAACUCUAGCAUUUUCAAGUGUAUCAAAGUCGAAAAACGUAACACGAAUUUUCAUCGAGCAGUCACAAAUAUGUACUAUUGUGAUUGUAAAAAAUUUGAAAAAUCAAAGGAUCUUAUUCGCGAUGCACAAGUAUACGCAAAAAUGUAGAUAUUUCCAUUGACAAACAAGAAACGAAGAAGGGAAAUAAUGUUACAAUUUAUAAACGUGUGACAAAAACGUACCAACUGUUGGAAGAAAAAUCUUUGAAAACAUAUUGUAACGCCGACUUUUCAAUCGCCUUUAGUUAUUUCUUCAAUGUGAACUCUGCAUUCACCAACUUUGCAAGUCGAGAAUAUGCUCUCGAUGUGAACGAGCUCGAUACACAACGAUUUCGUCCAAGUAUUUGAAAACUUUCAAUUAACCUUUGUUCUCGAUCUAAAUACUUCACCCGUAUCAAAUAAAGAGGCGGCUCUUUAAGCAUCUACCGCGCGAUUAAUAAACGUUUAUAAAUAAUUGUAUCGUUAAAAACUGUAAAAAAAGUUGUAUCUUUUCUUAAUCUCGUGAUUAAAUUUUUUCAA
Molecule: long non-coding RNA, 2984 nt
Organism: Apis cerana (Asiatic honeybee)
Lineage: Eukaryota; Metazoa; Arthropoda; Insecta; Hymenoptera; Apidae
Source: RefSeq, a predicted model, not a curated record